RNAcentral lists this ribosomal RNA (497 nucleotides) under uncultured bacterium. Its description in RNAcentral is "partial 16S ribosomal RNA". It matches the Rfam family "Bacterial small subunit ribosomal RNA", at positions 28 to 507 of the family's 1533-position model. The record is from RNAcentral.
GAUGAACGCUGGCGGCGUGCCUAAUACAUGCAAGUCGAGCGAACAGACGAGGAGCUUGCUCCUCUGACGUUAGCGGCGGACGGGUGAGUAACACGUGGAUAACCUACCUAUAAGACUGGGAUAACUUCGGGAACCCGGAGCUAAUACCGGAUAAUAUAUUGAACCGCAUGGUUCAAUAGUGAAAGACGGUUUUGCUGUCACUUAUAGAUGGAUCCGCGCCGCAUUAGCUAGUUGGUAAGGUAACGGCUUACCAAGGCAACGAUGCGUAGCCGACCUGAGAGGGUGAUCGGCCACACUGGAACUGAGACACGGUCCAGACUCCUACGGGAGGCAGCAGUAGGGAAUCUUCCGCAACGGGCGAAAGCCUGACGGAGCAACGCCGCGUGAGUGAUGAAGGUCUUCGGAUCGUAAAACUCUGUUAUUAGGGAAGAACAAAUGUGUAAGUAACUAUGCACGUCUUGACGGUACCUAAUCAGAAAGCCACGGCUAACUACGUG